CUGGGAUUAGAUACCCCACUAUGCUUAGCCCUAAACAAAAAUAGUAUAAACACACUACUAUUCGCCCGGGAACUACCAGCGAAAAGCUAAAAACCCAAAGGACUUGGCGGUGCUUCAAAUCAACCUAGAGGAGCCUGUCCUAUAAUCGAUAAUCCACGUUUUACCUUACCGUCUUUUGACCCCCCAGCCUAUAUACCGCCGUCGUAAGCCUACCUCAUAAGAGAAAAAAAGUUAGCAUAAUAGUUAAUAGCUAACACGUCAGGUCAAGGUGUAGCACAUAAGACGGCAGCGAUGAGCUACAUUCUCUAAAAAGCACACGAACGACAUACUGAAAUACAUGUCUGAAGGCGGAUUUAGCAGUAAAAAACCCCAGAAUAGCUAUUUUAAACCUGCUCUGAAGCACGCACACACCGCCCGUCACCCUCAUCACAUGCCAAUAAUACAAAAUAUAAUCAACAACAUACCCAGAUGAGGCAAGUCGUAACACGGUAAG
RNAcentral lists this ribosomal RNA (493 nucleotides) under Sphenomorphus simus. RNAcentral's name for it is "partial 12S ribosomal RNA". It matches the Rfam family "Bacterial small subunit ribosomal RNA", at positions 772 to 1500 of the family's 1533-position model. The record is from RNAcentral. Lineage: Eukaryota; Metazoa; Chordata; Lepidosauria; Squamata; Scincidae.